CAGGGAUUGCCCUAGUAACGGCGAGUGAAGCGGCAACAGCUCAAAUUUGAAAUCUGGCGUCUUUGGCGUCCGAGUUGUAAUUUGCAGAGGGCGCUUUGGCAUUGGCAGCGGUCCAAGUUCCUUGGAACAGGACGUCACAGAGGGUGAGAAUCCCGUACGUGGUCGCUAGCCUUUACCGUGUAAAGCCCCUUCGACGAGUCGAGUUGUUUGGGAAUGCAGCUCUAAAUGGGAGGUAAAUUUCUUCUAAAGCUAAAUACUGGCCAGAGACCGAUAGCGCACAAGUAGAGUGAUCGAAAGAUGAAAAGCACUUUGGAAAGAGAGUUAAAAAGCACGUGAAAUUGUUGAAAGGGAAGCGCUUGCAGCCAGACUUGCCUGUAGUUGCUCAUCCGGGUUUUUACCCGGUGCACUCUUCUACGGGCAGGCCAGCAUCAGUUUGGGCGGUUGGAUAAAGGUCUCUGUCAUGUACCUCCUCUCGGGGAGAUCUUAUAGGGGAGACGACAUGCAACCAGCCUGGACUGAGGUCCGCGCAUCUGCUAGGAUGCUGGCGUAAUGGCUGUAAGCGGCCCGUCUUGAAACACGGACCAAGGAGUCUAACAUCUAUGCGAGUGUUUGGGUGUCAAGCCCGAACGCGUAAUGAAAGUGAACGGAGGUGGGAACCUUUCGGGGUGCACCAUCGACCGAUCCUGAUGUCUUCGGAUGGAUUUGAGUAAGAGCAUAGCUGUUGGGACCCGAAAGAUGGUGAACUAUGCUUGAAUAGGGUGAAGCCAGAGGAAACUCUGGUGGAGGCUCGCAGCGGUUCUGACGUGCAAAUCGAUCGUCAAAUUUGGGCAUAGGGGCGAAAGACUAAUCGAACU
Molecule: ribosomal RNA, 854 nt
Filed under: Epicoccum sp.
Lineage: Eukaryota; Fungi; Ascomycota; Dothideomycetes; Pleosporales; Didymellaceae
Description: partial large subunit ribosomal RNA
Rfam family: Eukaryotic large subunit ribosomal RNA
Source: RNAcentral